UUCUCGGAUGCAGUGGAGUUUUAUUUGCUCAAAGUAAAAAUUUUUAGUACUCCUCCUACUUUACUUAAAAUCAUCCCUAUGCUAAAUUGGGUAACGUUAUGUACGUAAAGCCAUCCUACGGGGAUUGCGGAGUUGUCGUCCCAGCUCAGCUGAUGAGGGCUUUAUGCGCAUACUCAGGGAGUGGGUUUCACCACUCUCUCGGUCUUUGAUGGUCGCAUAUAUUUUUUUUAACCUCGCCCCCAUCAAUUCUAAUUGAGUACACGUCGCUUGGAAUCUCUUUACACUGCCCAAAAUUUCAAGCCGAAGGGACCAAAAUAACCGGCCCCCUUAAGUUAAGAUGUUUAUAGGAUAUUAAAGUGGUGGUGAAAACUUAAUUUAGUACUUGGUACCCUCGAGCGAAGAUUCUUUGCUUCAGGCAAUUAUCUUGCAUACUAAUACGAUCACAUCAAUCUGUAUACGUUAUAUAUUCACAUACUUCCCUGGUGGACUAUUAUUUUACAUACUAUAAACUGAUUUAUUUAUGUUCCCUCACUGCUAAGGACUCUAGAAUCUUCUGUAUUCUUCUGGAAGAGUUCAAUGUAUAGAUAACGACCACUUCUCAUUGCAAUUAAGCAGCUUAUUUGCUAGUCGGUUUCCAUUGCAAGUAUUUUGCACUGUCUAAAUGUCUACUCUAUAUACUCUACUUAAGGUUAUUAAUAUUUAAUAACCGAAAAGCGGGAAAGAAGAUAAAAGAGGUGAUCAGCAGGGAGGUUUGCUACAAAAAGCCACCUAUAUGUGAACAACGCAUUUAUCAAA
Long non-coding RNA from Zophobas morio, 795 nucleotides. RefSeq lists it as uncharacterized. The record is from RefSeq and is a predicted model, not a curated record. Lineage: Eukaryota; Metazoa; Arthropoda; Insecta; Coleoptera; Tenebrionidae. The transcript has 3 exons.